RNAcentral lists this ribosomal RNA (1289 nucleotides) under uncultured soil eukaryote. RNAcentral's name for it is "SSU rRNA". It matches the Rfam family "Eukaryotic small subunit ribosomal RNA", at positions 539 to 1800 of the family's 1831-position model. The record is from RNAcentral.
GAGUAACGAUUGGAGGAAAAGUCUGGUGCCAGCACCCGCGGUAAUUCCAGCUCCAAUAGCGUAUUCUAAAAUUGUUGCAGUUAAAACGCUCGUAGUUUGACUAAAAAUACAAAUGUGUGAGCAGUGUCAAAUGCGGCUAUCUUUUUAUGAUUCAGUUCGUUUAAAGAAGCUGUGCCCAAGGCAAAAAUUUUGACAUUUUUAGAUCACGCCAAACUUACUGUAGCUUGCUACUUUAGGCUGUGUGUUAUCGCUUACAUAAUGAAGUAUUUGCUGUUUCCAACUGUGAGUAAAUCAAAGUGCUUAAAACAAGCUAACUAUUUAUAGUGUAGCAUGAAUGGUUUAGCAUGGUAUUGGAUUAAUAUUUUCUUCAAAUAUUAAAAGAGAACUAGGCAGAGGGUUUUUGCAUUGUAUUGUUAGAGGUGAAAUUCAGAGAUCGAUACAAGACUCACAAAUGCGAAGGCAGUUAUACCCAUGACAUUUCUAUCAAUCAGGAACGAAAGUUGGGGGAUCGAAGAUGAUUAGAUACCGUCGUAGUCCUAACCGUAAACUAUAUCGACAGGAGAUUGGAUGAUGAACCCUUUCAGGCUGAAACUUAAAAGAAUUGACGGAAGAACACAACCAGGAGUGGAAUUUGCGGCUUAAUUCGACCCAACACGGGAAAACUCACCAGGACCGGAUAAACGAGCAGGAUUGACAGGUUGAAGUCCUUUCAUGAUUUCUUACAUGGUGGUGCAUGGCCGUUCUUAGUACGUGAAUUGAUUUGUCUGGUUAAUUCCGAUAACGUACGAGACCUUAACACAUUAAUUAGGCAAUCGUUGAUUAACUCUCUCAUGUUUCUACGGAAAUCGAUUAUGGAACAUAAGUUUCGAGCUUCUUAAUUGGGACUAUGUAUCGUUACCACAAUUAUAUUAGUACAAGGAAGUUUAAGGCAAUAACAGGUCUGGAAUGCCCUUAGAUGUCCUGGGCAGCACGCGUAUUACAAUGUUAGUUUAAACGAGAAAAAAUUUUCGGAUUUAUUCGGAAAUACCAAGCUUGGGUAACCUUUAUAAAAGGCUAGGGAAUCUUUUGAAUUACUAACGUGACUGGGAUAGAUGGUUGUAAUAUCGUCUUCAACGAGGAAUUCCUAGUAAGUGCAAGUCACUAACUUGUAUUGAUUACGUCCCUGUUCUUUGUACACACCGCCCGUCGCUCCUACCAAUGGAACAAAAAGAUGAAAGCGAUGAACUGAUGUUAUGUUGGAAAAUUAAUUAAAUCUUUUUGUUUGUAGGAAGGAGAAGUCGUAACAAGGU